GAUUUGCAUUCCCCAGGCGGGAUGGAUGCUGCCCCGAGAUCACGUUGCAGACAGUGAAAGCACAGAGGCCUUCGAUCUGGGCCUCAGUCCUGUGUACGGAAUCAAUCUUUCUUUAAUUCUGCAGUCUCCUCGGGCAAUGUGACACAGGAUGGGGUUUGCAGCUUCAGUGCCUUUCUUCGCCUUUUAAAUUGCCACGAUUCACAGAUGGCUAUUUAGUGGCCCUACAAUGCUGCAACACAUUGGCUUGCAUUUUAGUCUUUAAUUAUUUGUUCCUUGGAUAACGGGCAGAGUUUUCUGUAUUUGUGUCAGCUGUUAGUGGUGACAUAGGCCGCUAGUUAACCUUUUCUUUAUGAAGUCUAAUUUAGUGUUCCCGUGGCUAGUUGCAAGCAUUUACAGUGAUCACCCAGUUUAAUCUUUUGUAUACUUUCUAGAAAUGCCAAGAGCCUUACUAACCUGGAGCAGAUUUAUGAUAUAGUGAUAAUUUAGGUAGAUGUUAGUCUUGAAGCUCUUAUUUUGUGUGCAACUGAUUAUAAAAACAUCUUACCCAAGUAUUAUUACACACAUGAUAUCUAUAACUAGGUCUUUGAUAACUGUUAUAUAAAGUGUGUAAAAU
Molecule: long non-coding RNA, 613 nt
Filed under: Bos taurus (domestic cattle)
Lineage: Eukaryota; Metazoa; Chordata; Mammalia; Artiodactyla; Bovidae
Description: long non-coding RNA NONBTAT015062
Source: RNAcentral